AUGUAGGGUUAGUCGGGUCCUAAGCUGAGUCCGAAAGGGGUAAGCGAUGGCAAAUCGGUUAAUAUUCCGAUACCGACCAUAGAGCGCGAUGGGGGGACGCAUAGGGCUAGCCGAGGUCACUGAUGGAAUAGUGGCUCGAAGGGAGUAGGUUGAGAUACAGGCAAAUCCGUAUCUCUAUAUCCGAGACCCGACAGGCUCCCUGAACUCUUCGGAGGGAUGGGAGAAUCGGUGAUGCCGUCGUGCCGAGAAAAGCCUCUAAGUUUAUCUAUGGUUGCCCGUACCGUAAACCGACACAGGUGGGUGAGAUGAGUAUUCUAAGGCGCGUGGAAGAACUCUGGUCAAGGAACUCUGCAAACUAGCACCGUACCUUCGGAAUAAGGUGUGCCUCCUUGGGUAUUAGGCCUUGCGCCGAAAGCCCGAGAGGUUGCAACAAAGAGUCCCUCCCGACUGUUUAUCAAAAACACAGCACUAUGCUAACUCGUAAGAGGAUGUAUAUGGUGUGACGCCUGCCCGGUGCUCGAAGGUUAAAUGAUGGGGUUAGCCGCAAGGCGAAGCUCUUGAUUGAAGCCCGAGUAAACGGCGGCCGUAACUAUAACGGUCCUAAGGUAGCGAAAUUCCUUGUCGGUUAAAUACCGACCUGCAUGAAUGGCGUAACGAGAUGGGAGCUGUCUCGACCAGAGAUCCAGUGAAAUUGUAGUGGAGGUGAAAAUUCCUCCUACCCGCGGCAAGACGGAAAGACCCCGUGGACCUUUACUACAGCUUGACACUGCAAUCGGGAUACAGAUGUGCAGGAUAGGUGGGAGGCUUUGAAGCCGGGACGCUAGUUCCGGUGGAGCCGUCGUUGAGAUACCACUCUUCUGUAUUCUGCUUGCUAACUUGCGUCAGUUAUCCUGGCGGAGGACAAUGUCUGGUGGGUAGUUUGACUGGGGCGGUCGCCUCCUAAAAAGUAACGGAGGCUUACAAAGGUUGGCUCAUAUGGGUUGGAAAUCCAUAGUAGAGUAUAAAGGCAUAAGCCAGCCUGACUGAGAGACAUACAAGUCGAUCAGAGACGAAAGUCGGUCUUAGUGAUCCGGUGGUUCUGAGUGGAAGGACCAUCGCUCAAAGGAUAAAAGGUACCCCGGGGAUAACAGGCUGAUCUCCCCCAAGAGCUCACAUCGACGGGGAGGUUUGGC
Molecule: ribosomal RNA, 1172 nt
Filed under: metagenome
Description: bacterial LSU rRNA
Rfam family: Bacterial large subunit ribosomal RNA
Source: RNAcentral